Non-coding RNA from Podarcis lilfordi (Lilford's wall lizard), 83 nucleotides. NCBI's taxonomy places the organism in Eukaryota, Metazoa, Chordata, Lepidosauria, Squamata, Lacertidae. The record is from the annotation of a GenBank genome assembly.
GCAACAGGGAUAGCUCAGUUGGUCAGAGCAAGGUGCUGUUAACGCCAAGGUUGCAGGUUUGAUCCCCAUAUGGGGCAGCUGCA